This 245-nucleotide ribosomal RNA is filed under the name uncultured bacterium. RNAcentral's name for it is "partial 16S ribosomal RNA". It matches the Rfam family "Bacterial small subunit ribosomal RNA", at positions 524 to 766 of the family's 1533-position model. The record is from RNAcentral.
GACGAACCGUGCGAACGUUAUUCGGAAUCACUGGGCUUAAAGCGCGUGUAGGCGGAUGGCCGCGUCGGCCGCUGAAAUCCCCCGGCUCAACCGGGGAACGGGCGCCGAGACGGGCCGUCUCGAGGGGGGUAGGGGGCGCUGGAACUUCCGGUGGAGCGGUGAAAUGCGUUGAGAUCGGAAGGAACGCCCGCGGCGAAAGCGAGCGCCUGGACCCUUAUCUGACGCUGAGACGCGAAAGCCAGGGG